CGCACAUUGCGCCCAUUAGUAUUCUAGUGGGCAUGCCUGUUCGAGCGUCAUUUCAACCCUUAAGCCUAGCUUAGUGUUGGGAGUCCACCGUUAAACGUGGUUCCCCAAAACCAGUGGCGGAGCGGCAGUUUGUCCUCUGAGCGUAGUAAUUCUUUUUAUCUCGCUUUUGUUAGGCGCUGUCACCCCAGCCGUUAAACCCCCAAAUUUUUAGUGGUUGACCUCGGAUCAGGUAGGAAUACCCGCUGAACUUAA
RNAcentral lists this unclassified non-coding RNA (252 nucleotides) under Sordariomycetes sp. RNAcentral describes it as "partial contains 5.8S ribosomal RNA, internal transcribed spacer 2, and large subunit ribosomal RNA". Lineage: Eukaryota; Fungi; Ascomycota; Sordariomycetes. The record is from RNAcentral.